Ixodes scapularis (black-legged tick) is the source of this 81-nucleotide non-coding RNA. The record is from Rfam. Lineage: Eukaryota; Metazoa; Arthropoda; Arachnida; Ixodida; Ixodidae.
GCAGUCGUGACCGAGUGGUUAAGGCGAUGGACUGGAAAUCCAUUAGGGUCUCCCGCAUAGGUUUGAAUCCUGUCGACUGCG